CCGACGGGGUGCAGCAGGCGCGAAAACNNNGCAAUGCGAGAAAUCGUGACCAGGGAACUCCAAGUGCGUAGGGUAAGACCUACGCUUUUCUUGACUCUUCAAAGGUCUUGGAAUAAGGGGUGGGUAAGGACGGUGCCAGCCGCCGCGGUAAUACCGGCGCCUCAAGUGGUAGUCGCUUUUAUUGGGCCUAAAACGUCCGUAGCCGGUCUGGUGCAUUCGUGGGUAAAUCAACCCGCUCAACGGGUUGAAUUCUGCGAGCACGGCCAGACUUGGGACCGGGAGAGGUGUGGGGUACUCUCAGGGUAGGGGUAAAAUCCUGUCAUCCUGAGAGGACCACCUGUUGCGAAGGCGCCACACUAGAACGGAUCCGACGGUCAGGGACGAAACCUAGGGGCACGAACCGGAUUAGAUACCCGGGUAGUCCUAGGUGUAAACGCUGUGGACUUGAUGUUGGGGGCGCUCCGAGCGNGNU
RNAcentral lists this ribosomal RNA (472 nucleotides) under uncultured archaeon. Its description in RNAcentral is "bacterial SSU rRNA". It matches the Rfam family "Archaeal small subunit ribosomal RNA", at positions 322 to 795 of the family's 1478-position model. The record is from RNAcentral.